This 1904-nucleotide long non-coding RNA is filed under the name Salvator merianae (Argentine black and white tegu). RNAcentral describes it as "lncRNA (ENSSMRG00000023225.1)". The record is from RNAcentral. Lineage: Eukaryota; Metazoa; Chordata; Lepidosauria; Squamata; Teiidae.
GUGGGCAAAAAAGCGCCUUCAAGCCUCGACGGCAGCCAAGCAGUUUGCACCACUUGUUGCAAAAGAAGCAAAGUCUCUCCGGCAAGUACAGUAAUUGCAAUAAAGCGGCCAGGACUAGGCAGCAACAGCAGGUGUUCUCGGGGCGGGCCCGGCACGAUCAAGCGAGCAACAGGAGGAGGCCGAUUACGAAGCAAUUAAGUUGCUCCUCGUCCCCCAAUCGCAGCUUUUCUCAAUCUCUGAGCGUUGCAGAAGCUGUCAUUGACAUUUUAUUAAGGGGGCGGGCACAGCGGCCGAAGUAGAUCCCUGGACCAAUAAGAUUCAGCGGAGGGUGGAGUUUAGAUCCUUGANUGCGCAGACAGAGGCUAUUGGGGUAAACUGGAGGUGGGGAUAUGCAAAUGACCAGCAAUAUUUUUAAAAGUCGUCGCACCCGACCCAGCGCGUUGGCAAAUUUUAGUAUUGAUUUGUUUGGGCGCGCACAGGCAAGAAAGUUUUCUUUUUGUCUCUCGCUCAGGAAGACGGAACGGAAUGUGACGAAAUGGCAGAAAUGAAACUUGAUUAUGGACGGUUGAAUUGCAGGACACUUCCUUCAGGAGGAAGCGCUGACUGUGUAAAAAAAUAAAUAAAAAGCAAAGUAAAUAAUCACAUCGUGGUUCUACAGACUUGUAGGAGAUGGAGAUUCUUUCCUACGGAGGGAGAGACGCGUAUAAACGAGUUACUAAUCCAAAGGAGAAAGGGGUAGUCUACUGGAGUAAUAUAUACUCAUACAUUAUUGGUCUGCAAAAUUUAUCAGUUGACUGGCUGAUUAUCUUUGAGUUUUUCCUCCCUGCCUCCCUCCCUUUCUUUCUUCCUUCCAGAAGUAAAGCAGUGAAAAAAAUGCAUAAGGUCGUUUGGGAAUUGUGCGGUCAAAUCCCAACUUGCCGGUCCAGGCUCCCUGUUGUGUUUGACUUUCCAGAAAGGGCAUGAUUUCAUUUACUCCAAAAUGUGGCCUGAGAACCCUGCUGCAUUCGGUGCCCUCUACAUCUAGUGUUAAAUAAGGCUGUGCAGUUCUGCCUCAAAGUCCUGCUCUGAUGUUACUUCUCUUGGUCGGCUUGGUUAUUGAAAAGAAUGAUUAAAGCCUGCUUUGUGAAGGAAGGAAACUACAAGCAACACUCACCAACACACAGCAUAGACUUGGGAUGUAUGAGGAAUGGAAAGGGGGAACAGAUUCUCCUGUGAAUAUGCUGACAGAUAGAGUAGUAUGCAGUAUCAGCUUCCAAAAUCUGAUAGCANUGGGAAGAAUAUGACCUUGUGAGGCAGGAGGAAGCACCUCGGCUUCAGCUCUUGUGGGCUCCAUAGCUUGACAGGCCACUAUUUGUACACAGAAAAAAAUAUUGCCUGAAAAAUGUUUGGACAAAGCUAUCUUUCUACAGAGAAAAUGGUCUGCAAAAUUCCACAGGAAUUGACACAAAGUUGGUUCUUUUCAGCAUGAACAGUGGCAGAGCUGGUUNCUUUAUCUUUCAGAGGCAUCUUUCAUCUGUCUCCCUGGUGCUGGCAGUAGCAGGACUAGAUAUCAGAUUCUGAUAUCAGACACCCUUUUGAUAGCAAACAAUUUCAUCAAAUACAGCAUCUCUGAAUAUUGGACGUUUUGUUCAAAGGAGAGAGUUCCUAGCACAGGAGUUUGGUGCUAUUGCUGCUGGAUCAUUUUGGACCAGCAGCUAGAAGGAGGAAUCUGCGUAGUCCCUAUAUAACAUAACUUGCUGGCUAUAAUCAUCCAUUGUACCUAACUCUAACAUGCCAAAUUUCUGUCUUUUGCAUUCAUUUGGGGUUGGAGGUAGUGGGUGGGGGGAGCCUGUAGUUUUAUUUUGUUGUACUUUAAUGUUUGUAUUAAUUGUAACCUGUCCUGGGACUAUAUGGUAAAGAGUGGG